Alosa alosa (allis shad) is the source of this 191-nucleotide long non-coding RNA. RefSeq lists it as uncharacterized. Lineage: Eukaryota; Metazoa; Chordata; Actinopteri; Clupeiformes; Clupeidae. The transcript is spliced from 4 exons. The record is from RefSeq and is a predicted model, not a curated record.
AGCUGAAGGCAGUCAUGUGACAUCAUGGAGGAGAGGACAUGGGGGAGGAAUGUUAGCACCAGGGGGUCAGGUGGACAGUGGGCCAGGAGGCCAGAGCUCAGGGGUCAGGUGGACAGUGGGCCAGGAGGCCAGAGCUCAGGGGUCAGGUGGACAGUGGGUCAGGUGGACAGUGGGCCAGGGGUCAGGUGGAC